AAAGUUGAUCGGGCAGUCGCGUCUGACCAAUAAAGUGUUUCAUUAUUACAUGUGGCUAUUAAAUAUAGCUAGAUUUAUAUAAGAUAGCUUUAGUGGUUAGAUGAGGAAAGUCCGGGCUUUAUAGAGCAAGAUGCCAGAUAACAUCUGGGAGGUGUGAGCCUACGGAAAGUGCAACAGAAAAUAUACCGCCUUGUUAAAAAGGUAAGGGUGAAAAGGUGUGGUAAGAGCACACCGCAUUGGUGGUAACACUCAAUGGCAUUGUAAACCCCAUCUAAAGCAAGACCAAAUAGUGCUACAAUAGUGUUGCUCGCACUGUAGCAGGGUAGGUCGCUUGAGCUUGUUGGUGACAGCAAGCCUAGAUAAAUGGCUGCUUAUUACAGAACCCGGCUUAUAGAUUAACUUUGUAU
RNAcentral lists this RNase P RNA (407 nucleotides) under Allofrancisella inopinata. RNAcentral's name for it is "RNase P RNA component class A". It matches the Rfam family "Bacterial RNase P class A". Rfam says of the family: Ribonuclease P (RNase P) is a ubiquitous endoribonuclease, found in archaea, bacteria and eukarya as well as chloroplasts and mitochondria. Its best characterised activity is the generation of mature 5'-ends of tRNAs by cleaving the 5'-leader elements of precursor-tRNAs. The record is from RNAcentral. Lineage: Bacteria; Pseudomonadati; Pseudomonadota; Gammaproteobacteria; Thiotrichales; Francisellaceae.